CCUACGGGUGGCAGCAGUGAGGAAUAUUGCACAAUGGGGGGAACCCUGAUGCAGCGACGCCGCGUGGAGGAUGAAGGUUUUCGGAUUGUAAACUCCUUUUGUUAGAGAAGAUAAUGACGGUAUCUACCGCAUAAGCACCUGCUAACUCCGUGCCAGCAGCCGCGGUAAUACGGAGGGUGCAAGCGUUACUCGGGAUCACUGGGCGUAAAGAGCGCGUAGGUGGGAUAGCAAGUCAGAUGUGAAAUCCUAUGGCUUAACCAUAGAACUGCAUUUGAAACUAUUAUUCUAGAGUAUGGGAGAGGUAGGUGGAAUUCUUGGGGUAGGGGUAAAAUCCGUAGAGAUCAAGAGGAAUACUCAUUGCGAAGGCGACCUGCUAGAACAUAACUGACGCUGAUGCGCGAAAGCGUGGGGAGCAAACAGGAUUAGAUACCCUAGUAGUC
Molecule: ribosomal RNA, 440 nt
Filed under: uncultured bacterium
Lineage: Bacteria
Description: partial 16S ribosomal RNA
Rfam family: Bacterial small subunit ribosomal RNA
Source: RNAcentral